UUACGGGUAGGCUAGCCAGUGGGGAAUAUUGCACAAUGGAGGGAACUCCUGAUGCAGCAACGCCGCGUGGAGGAUGACACAUUUCGGUGCGUAAACUCCUUUUAUAUAGGAAGAUAAUGACGGUACUAUAUGCAUAAGGCACCGGCUACUACCGUGCACGCGCACGCAGU
RNAcentral lists this ribosomal RNA (170 nucleotides) under uncultured vent bacterium. RNAcentral describes it as "partial 16S ribosomal RNA". It matches the Rfam family "Bacterial small subunit ribosomal RNA", at positions 339 to 521 of the family's 1533-position model. The record is from RNAcentral.